GACGAACGCUGGCGGCGUGCUUAACACAUGCAAGUCGAACGAAGAGCGAUGGAAGCUUGCUUCUAUCAAUCUUAGUGGCGAACGGGUGAGUAACGCGUAAUCAACCUGCCCUUCAGAGGGGGACAACAGUUGGAAACGACUGCUAAUACCGCAUACGAUCCAAUCUCGGCAUCGAGGAUGGAUGAAAGGUGGCCUCUAUUUACAAGCUAUCACUGAAGGAGGGGAUUGCGCCUGAUUAGCUAGUUGGAGGGGUAACGGCCCACCAAGGCGAUGAUCAGUAGCCGGUCUGAGAGGAUGAACGGCCACAUUGGGACUGAGACACGGCCCAGACUCCUACGGGAGGCAGCAGUGGGGAAUCUUCCGCAAUGGACGAAAGUCUGACGGAGCAACGCCGCGUGAGUGAUGACGGCCUUCGGGUUGUAAAGCUCUGUUAAUCGGGACGAAAGGCCUUCUUGCGAAUAGUUAGAAGGAUUGACGGUACCGGAAUAGAAAGCCACGGCUAACUACGUGCCAGCAGCCGCGGUAAUACGUAGGUGGCAAGCGUUGUCCGGAAUUAUUGGGCGUAAAGCGCGCGCAGGCGGAUUGGUCAGUCUGUCUUAAAAGUUCGGGGCUUAACCCCGUGAUGGGAUGGAAACUGCCAAUCUAGAGUAUCGGAGAGGAAAGUGGAAUUCCUAGUGUAGCGGUGAAAUGCGUAGAUAUUAGGAAGAACACCAGUGGCGAAGGCGACUUUCUGGACGAAAACUGACGCUGAGGCGCGAAAGCCAGGGGAGCGAACGGGAUUAGAUACCCCGGUAGUCCUGGCCGU
Molecule: ribosomal RNA, 805 nt
Filed under: uncultured organism
Description: SSU rRNA
Rfam family: Bacterial small subunit ribosomal RNA
Source: RNAcentral